This 509-nucleotide ribosomal RNA is filed under the name uncultured bacterium. RNAcentral's name for it is "bacterial SSU rRNA". It matches the Rfam family "Bacterial small subunit ribosomal RNA", at positions 501 to 1009 of the family's 1533-position model. The record is from RNAcentral.
CUACGUGCCAGCAGCCGCGGUAAUACGUAGGUCCCGAGCGUUGUCCGGAUUUAUUGGGCGUAAAGCGAGCGCAGGCGGUUUGAUAAGUCUGAAGUUAAAGGCUGUGGCUCAACCAUAGUUCGCUUUGGAAACUGUCAAACUUGAGUGCAGAAGGGGAGAGUGGAAUUCCAUGUGUAGCGGUGAAAUGCGUAGAUAUAUGGAGGAACACCGGUGGCGAAAGCGGCUCUCUGGUCUGUAACUGACGCUGAGGCUCGAAAGCCAGGGGAGCGAACGGGAUUAGAUACCCCGGUAGUCCUGGCCGUAAACGAUGGGUACUAGGUGUAGGAGGUAUCGACCCCUUCUGUGCCGGAGUUAACGCAAUAAGUACCCCGCCUGGGGAGUACGACCGCAAGGUUGAAACUCAAAGGAAUUGACGGGGGCCCGCACAAGCGGUGGAGUAUGUGGUUUAAUUCGACGCAACGCGAAGAACCUUACCAGGUCUUGACAUUGAUGGACAGAACUAGAGAUAG